Molecule: ribosomal RNA, 643 nt
Filed under: uncultured bacterium
Lineage: Bacteria
Description: bacterial SSU rRNA
Rfam family: Bacterial small subunit ribosomal RNA (bases 1-545)
Source: RNAcentral
CCUACGGGAGGCAGCAGUGGGGAAUUUUGGACAAUGGGCGAAAGCCUGAUCCAGCCAUUCCGCGUGAGUGAAGAAGGCCUUCGGGUUGUAAAGCUCUUUCGCAAGGGAAGAAAACUUAGUCUCUAACAUAGACUGAGGUUGACGGUACCUUGAUAAGAAGCACCGGCUAACUACGUGCCAGCAGCCGCGGUAAUACGUAGGGUGCGAGCGUUAAUCGGAAUUACUGGGCGUAAAGCGUGCGCAGGCGGUUUUGUAAGUCAGAUGUGAAAUCCCCGAGCUCAACUUGGGAACUGCGUUUGAAACUACAAGACUAGAAUAUGUCAGAGGGGGGUAGAAUUCCACGUGUAGCAGUGAAAUGCGUAGAGAUGUGGAGGAAUACCAAUGGCGAAGGCAGCCCCCUGGGAUAAUAUUGACGCUCAUGCACGAAAGCGUGGGGAGCAAACAGGAUUAGAUACCCUGGUAGUCCACGCCCUAAACGAUGUCUACUAGUUGUUGGUGGAGUAAAAUCCAUGAGUAACCGNAGCUAACGCGUGAAGUAGACCGCCGCGGGAGGUACGGUCGGUCGAGAAGUUAAACGUUAAAAGUUAAGUUAAGUUAGUACGGCGUUGAGACGUUAGCCGACGGACGACGACGAGGGAGGAGG